GCACGAAACUUGCCCCGAGAUGAGUUCUCCCUGAGACUAUAAGUCUCCUGAAGGAACGUUGAAGACGACGACGUUGAUAGGCCGGGUGUGUAAGCGCAGCGAUGCGUUGAGCUAACCGGUACUAAUGAACCGU
RNAcentral lists this ribosomal RNA (133 nucleotides) under Cronobacter turicensis 564. RNAcentral describes it as "Large Subunit Ribosomal RNA; lsuRNA; LSU rRNA". It matches the Rfam family "Bacterial large subunit ribosomal RNA", at positions 2785 to 2912 of the family's 2925-position model. The record is from RNAcentral. Lineage: Bacteria; Pseudomonadati; Pseudomonadota; Gammaproteobacteria; Enterobacterales; Enterobacteriaceae.